AACGAACGCUGGCGGCAUGCCUAACACAUGCAAGUCGAACGGGAUCCAGGCUUCGGCCUGGUGAGAGUGGCGGACGGGUGAGUAACGCGUGGGAACCUGCCCAAUGGUCUGGGAUAACCGCGGGAAACUGCGGCUAAUACCGGAUAAGCCCGAGAGGGGAAAGAUUUAUCGCCGAUGGAGGGGCCCGCGUCAGAUUAGGUAGUUGGUGGGGUAAUGGCCUACCAAGCCUACGAUCUGUAGCUGGUCUGAGAGGAUGAUCAGCCACACUGGGACUGAGAUACGGCCCAGACUCUACGGGAGGCAGCAGUGGGAAUAUUGGACAAUGGGGGCAACCCUGAUCCAGCAAUGCCGCGUGAGUGAU
This 361-nucleotide ribosomal RNA is filed under the name uncultured bacterium. RNAcentral describes it as "bacterial SSU rRNA". It matches the Rfam family "Bacterial small subunit ribosomal RNA", at positions 29 to 409 of the family's 1533-position model. The record is from RNAcentral.